ACUCCUGCGGGAGGCAGCAGUGGGGAAUAUUGGACAAUGGGCGCAAGCCUGAUCCAGCCAUGCCGCGUGAGUGAUGAAGGCCCUCGGGUUGUAAAGCUCUUUCACCGGUGAAGAUAAUGACGGUAACCGGAGAAGAAGCCCCGGCUAACUUCGUGCCAGCAGCCGCGGUAAUACGAAGGGGGCUAGCGUUGUUCGGAUUUACUGGGCGUAAAGCGCACGUAGGCGGACUAUUAAGUCAGGGGUGAAAUCCCGGGGCUCAACCCCGGAACUGCCUUUGAUACUGGUAGUCUUGAGUUCGAGAGAGGUGAGUGGAAUUCCGAGUGUAGAGGUGAAAUUCGUAGAUAUUCGGAGGAACACCAGUGGCGAAGGCGGCUCACUGGCUCGAUACUGACGCUGAGGUGCGAAAGCGUGGGGAGCAAACAGGAUUAGAUACCCGAGUAGUCCCAUGA
Molecule: ribosomal RNA, 449 nt
Filed under: uncultured organism
Description: partial 16S ribosomal RNA
Rfam family: Bacterial small subunit ribosomal RNA
Source: RNAcentral